RNAcentral lists this ribosomal RNA (496 nucleotides) under uncultured bacterium. Its description in RNAcentral is "partial 16S ribosomal RNA". It matches the Rfam family "Bacterial small subunit ribosomal RNA", at positions 30 to 523 of the family's 1533-position model. The record is from RNAcentral.
AUUGAACGCUGGCGGAAUGCUUUACACAUGCAAGCCGAACGGUAGAGGGGGCAACCCCUCGAGAGUGGCGAACGGGUGAGUAAUAUAUCGGAACGUAUCCAAUAAUGGGGGAUAACUAGUCGAAAGAUUGGCUAAUACCGCAUACGUCCUACGGGAGAAAGCUGGGGAUCGCAAGACCUGGCGUUAAUGGAGCGGCCGAUAUCUGAUUAGCUAGUUGGUGAGGUAAAGGCUCACCAAGGCGACGAUCAGUAGCUGGUCUGAGAGGACGACCAGCCACACUGGAACUGAGACACGGUCCAGACUCCUACGGGAGGCAGCAGUGGGGAAUUUUGGACAAUGGGCGAAAGCCUGAUCCAGCCAUUCCGCGUGAGUGAAGAAGGCCUUCGGGUUGUAAAGCUCUUUCGCAAGGGAAGAACACUUACUUAAUAACACUAAGUGAGGUUGACGGUACCUUGAUAAGAAGCACCGGCUAACUACGUGCCAGCCGCCGCGGUAA